This is a long non-coding RNA of Lathyrus oleraceus (garden pea), 2015 nucleotides long. RefSeq lists it as uncharacterized. NCBI's taxonomy places the organism in Eukaryota, Viridiplantae, Streptophyta, Magnoliopsida, Fabales, Fabaceae. The record is from RefSeq and is a predicted model, not a curated record. The transcript is spliced from 2 exons.
GUUAAGGCCCAUUAACUAAAACCACCAAAUGUUCCCACAAACCCUAAAGCGUCAGAACAGAACCCGGUCACUAUAAAAUCGAAUAAUACCUUCAUUGCUACGAAUAUCAUAGCCGCCGCUGGUUUUUCCAAAGCCAUAGAAAAACCGAGAGGUCAAUCUUAGAGUUUCAACCUGAGGUGGAUGGAACAUUUCGCUAAUCAUUUCCGCUGUCAUAGAUAGUAAUCGUUAUGACUCAAAUAUACUUAUAGAUGACGAAAGUUUGUGAUUUUUUAUUAUUGAAAUAUGUGUUAAAAUCUUAAGUGAUAAAGAUGAAGAAAAUAUAUUUUGAUAUUGCAAAAUUACAAACAAUCUGGAAGUUGAUGAAGAUGGCAUAGCUACGAGGGAGUUUGAUAGUUGAGAUGGUGCAGAAUUGAGUUGGGUAAAGUGAGGCUGGUGGUGGAGCCUGCGAGGUGGGAAGCUGGCCUUGAAGUUUCAUGGGGGUUUCGUGAUUGUAGGUCUGGGUUUGAUGAGCAGUUUAGGUUACAACAAAAUGAAGAUAAACAUGUCUAAAACAAUAACAUAGAAUAAAUAGAAAUAUUUAAGAGAUUACUGUUAUAGGACUACAUACAUUUUAACAAGAAUCCUUUUGGAGUCGUUUAUGAUCGGCCGAUAGAGUAUGAAUGAACCCUGUUAUUGUCAAAAGUGCUUGGUGAUGUGCAUGAUUGUGGUGCUGCUGUACAGAAUGUGUAUAUUUGGCAGCCUAGAAAACAUAGGCAGCCUAAGAAUUGUGUUUGGCGUUAGGUUUAGAGACCAACUGAGCAGGUAGUUGUUGCUCGGCAUGAGACUCUUGUGGCUCCUAGUGAGCCUACUAAUCUGCAGGAAGCUCCAUGGACGCUGGUUAGUACUGGGUGUUGGGAUGUUAGGCAAGAGUGGCAUGUGGUUCCCUCAACUUCUUCCGUUUUUUCCAAGAAUAUUUCGAGCUGGAACUUCUGGGGCUUAAAUAAUUUCACUGGACAAUGAGAAGUAAUUAAGUUUUUAGUGUUUAAUAAAAUUGUUUUGGUUGGUUCACUAGAGACUAGAGUAAAGUAGCCUAAGGCAAGUGCAAUUUGCACAAGCUUCAAUAAUUGUUGGAUGUUUGCGGAUAACUAUACUUCUGCUAUUAAUGCAGAAUUUGGGUAUUUUGGGAUCCUUCUCUUGUGACUUUAAUAAUGUUUUGCCUACGGUUGACCAUCUUGGUGGCUUGCGGAUGACUGAUAUACAAGUGCAAGAACUUUGCUAUAUUGGAUGGUCUUUCUCGUGGUGUAAUAAAUAACAGGAAAAAUUGAUUUAUACUAAGAUUGAUGAGUGUUUUGGAAAUGGCGAGUGGAUUCAGAAGUAUGGGAAUGCCAUUGUGGAAGUUUUGAAUCCCAAAGGGUCUGACCAUUUUCCGCUUUAUUGGCAAUAUGAUCUGGCUUGAGCUCCCAAGCUGAAGCCAUUUAAGUUUCUAAAUUGUCUUGUUGGACAUCCAUCUUUUAGUGAGACUGUUGCUAGAGUUUGGAAUAUGGAAUGUACUGGAGUUCAGAUGUUUAGAGUUUGGACGAAGUUGAAGCAGCUGCACCUCUUCUUAGGCAAAUGACUAUGCAUUAUUCUCAGGUGCACUUGAAGAUUGCACCAGCUUGAAGUAAUAUGCUGGCUAAGCCGACUGAUCUACAACAAGAUCCUGUUAAUGCUCAUUUGUUAGCGGAAAUGCAGGAACAUAAGAAUGUUUAUGAGCAUUGAUUACUUAUUGAAGAUAAGAUCUUAAAACAGAAAUUAAAGGUGCAUUGGUUGAAUGUUAGGGAUGGAAAUAAAUGGUAUUUUCAUGCUAGCUUACAAAAUAAGGGUGGUAGGCAGUGUAUUUAUGUGUUGUUUGAUCGUAUGGUGCUAAACUUACCAAUGAAGCUGAUAUAAGGAGGGAAAUAUUUUAUUUCUAUAAAGGGCUUCUUGGAAGUUUAGCACCAAUUUUUUUACUAUGAAUGAAUAGUGCUAUUUUUUUUAUAUAAACGUUAUGAAGGCUA